This 497-nucleotide ribosomal RNA is filed under the name uncultured bacterium. RNAcentral describes it as "partial 16S ribosomal RNA". It matches the Rfam family "Bacterial small subunit ribosomal RNA", at positions 28 to 507 of the family's 1533-position model. The record is from RNAcentral.
GAUGAACGCUGGCGGCGUGCCUAAUACAUGCAAGUCGAGCGAACGGACGAGACUCUUUCUUCUCUUCUGUUAGCGGCGGACGGGUAAGUAACACGUGGAUAACCUACCUAUAAGACUGGGAUAACUUCGGGAAACCUGAUCUCAUACCGGAUCAUAUUUUGAACCGCAUGGUUCAACAGUGCAAGACGUUCUUGCUGUCACUUAUAGAUGUAUCCGCGCUGCAUUAGCUAGUUGGUAAGGUAACGGCUUACCAAGGCAACGAUGCAUAGCCGACCUGAGAGGGUGAUCGGACAAACUGGAAAUGAGACAAGGUCCAGACUACUAAGGGAGGCAGCAGUAGGGAAUCUUCCGAAAUGGGCGAAAGACUGAAGGAGCAAAGCCGCGUGAGUGAUGAAGGUCUUCGGAUCGUAAAACUCUGUUAUUAGGGAAGAACAGAUGUGUAAGUAAAUGUGCACAUCUUGACGGUACCUAAUCAGAAAGCAACGGCUAACUACGUG